AUGGCUUUGCACUAUAUUCCCAUCUUCUUCCUCCAAUUUUUGAGCUCGUUCUGCAAAUCAGACGAUCAGCUCACACGGGCAAAGCCACUCACCCACGGCGACACACUCAUCUCAGAGAGCCGGAACUUUGCUCUCGGCUUCUUCUCCACAACCAGCUCCAACAAGAGCUUUUACCUUGGCAUACGGUACCACGGCAUUCCUGGACCACGCACCGUCGUGUGGGUAGCCAACCGAGACAACCCAAUCAACACCCCUUCAUCUGCGAUGCUCUCCAUCACCACCAAUUCUGAUCUUGUGUUGUCCGACUCCAAAGGCCGCCAUAUUUGGAGGGCUACAAGCAGUAUCGCCCCGGGAGGGGCCGGAGCUUACGCUUUGCUAGUCAACUCGGGGAAUUUUGUCCUUCGGUUGCCAAACACCGCCGACAUAUGGCAGAGCUUUGAUCACCCGACCGACACAAUACUUCCAACAAUGCGAGAGUUAUUGAGGUACAAGGCACAAGCCAUCCGGGGGCUCGUUGCUUGGAAGGGUUCGGAUGACCCUUCCUCUGGGGACUUCACAGGCGGCGCCGACCCUAGCUCGCCGACACUUCAAAGGCUGAUUUUGCACGGGACCAUUCCAUAUCUUCGCAGCGAUGUGUUGAGUGGUGUGUCGGUGCCUGGUGGCACAUACCUAAGCAACGCCAGCUCCUUCGUGACCGAAACAGUCAUCAACCAGGGAGACGAAUCAUAUCUUUUGUUCACUGUCUCUGAUGGUUUACCGUUCACACGUUUGACGCUUGAAUACACAGGCAUGCUGAAGUGUCUAAGCUGA
This 810-nucleotide ribosomal RNA is filed under the name Triticum aestivum (bread wheat). RNAcentral's name for it is "partial small subunit ribosomal RNA". The record is from RNAcentral. Lineage: Eukaryota; Viridiplantae; Streptophyta; Magnoliopsida; Poales; Poaceae.